This 724-nucleotide ribosomal RNA is filed under the name Hodophilus atropunctus. RNAcentral describes it as "LSU rRNA". It matches the Rfam family "Eukaryotic large subunit ribosomal RNA", at positions 74 to 778 of the family's 3401-position model. Lineage: Eukaryota; Fungi; Basidiomycota; Agaricomycetes; Agaricales; Clavariaceae. The record is from RNAcentral.
AUUCCCCUAGUAACUGCGAGUGAAGAGGGAAAAGCUCAAAUUUAAAAUCUGACAGUCUAUGGCUGUCCGAGUUGUAAAUUAGAGAAGUGUUAUCUGCUCAAGCCUGUGCAAAAGUCUCUUGGAAAAGGGCAUCAUAGAGGGUGACAAUCCCGUCUUUGGCACAGAUCACUUGCGCUUUUGUGAUGCGCUCUCAAUGAGUCGAGUUGUUUGGGAAUGCAGCUCCAAAUGGGUGGUAAAUUCCAUCUAAAGCUAAAUAUUGGCGAGAAACCGAUAGCGCACAAGUACCGUGAGGGAAAGAUGAAAAGAACUUUGAAAAGAGAGUUAAACAGUACGUGAAAUUGUUGAAAGGGAAACGCUUGGAGUCAGUCGUGUUCUGCAAAAUCAACCUAACCUUUGGUUGGGUGUAUUUUUUGUAGAAUGGGUCAGCAUCAAUUUUGAUUGUUGGAAAAAGGACUUGGGAAUGUGGCAUCUUUGGAUGUGUUAUAGCCCUUGUUUGUAUACAAUGAUUGGGAUUGAGGAACUCAGUGUGACWUUUGUUUGGGGGCAUUGCCUCUACAUCAACGCACUUAGGAUGCUGGCAUAAUGGCUUUAAUCGACCCGUCUUGAAACACGGACCAAGGAGUCUAACAUGCAUGCAAGGGUUUGGGUGGAAAACUCAAGCGCGUAAUGAAAGUGAAAGUUGAGAACCCUGUCGUGGGGUGCAUCGACGCCCGGUCUYGACCUU